This 3587-nucleotide long non-coding RNA is filed under the name Solanum lycopersicum (tomato). Its description in RNAcentral is "partial TCONS_00124696". Lineage: Eukaryota; Viridiplantae; Streptophyta; Magnoliopsida; Solanales; Solanaceae. The record is from RNAcentral.
CCUCCCCUUCCUUCUUCCCCAGCGAUUACCAGAACAGGAAAACAGAAACCCAGAAAAAAAUCAAACGAAAGAACGCAGAGAAAACAGACCCCCCAACGGAAACUUCCCCAGACACGUCUCUCCCUCUCGCGUCUCCCUCACUCUCUCCUUUUCGUCUCCCUCACGCGCGAUGUUUUCGGAAAGGACGCCCAGCCAACUCGCAGCAACGGAAACCUGCACUGCAGCUGUCGCGCGACUCUGCAGUGCACAAGACGACACGAAAGGGCGUCCUCCUUCGUCCUUGUUAGCUGAGAUCGAGCCACGUAGCUCGCAAGGACAACGAUUUCAUCUCAGCCCUCCACCUCGCCUCAAACUCCCUUCCCGCUCGAAGUUUCGGAUAAGAUUUUGAGAUUUUGAAUUGGAAUGGGCCGAAAUUCUUGGAACCCAUCCGAAUUUGAAACCCUAGUCUCUCUUCUUCUAUAUAAACCCCCCUGCGUCUUCAGUAAAGGGGGUUGGACACUUUUGGGUUUGAGAAUUUAGAGUGUUGGAGUUUUGAGUGUUAGAAAUUAUUUUUUAGAGCAAGAAAGAUUAAUUUCUGUUUUCAAGUUUUCUCUUCUCAAUCGACUUUAGACUGGUCUGAUAUUGAGUUUUCUUCUUAGACUUCUCAUUCGGGGGUUUGAAACUUGGAUUGGAAAUUUUCGGUUUGAAAGUCUUGGUUUGUUCUGUUUGUUUAUAAGAAAAUACUCCACUCCUCCUUCUGGUUUGCUUCAAACGACGAAAAGGAAAGAGAAAUCAGGUCUGUCACGAAGAGUCAUAAGAAGAGCUCAUUCGUUCCGUCAUCUCCGGCAUUCGUGUGUUCAAUUGGUGGGAGUCAUCGCUGUUUACUGCUCGUUUCCCGGCGUCGCUGCUCCUCAACAGGUGAACACUUCUUUUAUAUAAAUUCCCUUUUGUCUCGAUUAGAUGGGGUGAGGGUGGAGAGCUUUCUGUUAUGCAUCUUUGGGAUUGUUUGUCACUGUUGGAGUAACCUUAAGGGAUAUGUCUGCUGGAGUUUGCUAGACUGUUUUAUUCGUUUAUACAAUUCAUGCGUUUCUUGAGUAGUUCUUUUGAAUGAAUACGUUGUUUGGUUAUAGUCUAGAGGUCUGCAUACUUUAACGAAGAUGGUUCUGUGUUCUCGUUCUUAUCGAGCAUGUCUUUUCUUUCUUCCUUUCUCUCAUUGAGUAGUAUUUGAAGUGAUGCUGAACAUUCGAUGUCUCAUCCUUCAUUCAUUCACCCCAAGUUGAAAGAAUGAAUCGAGACGUCAAAAUUUAAGAUUUGGCCUAUGGUGUUUGGAUUGUUCGAAGUCUGUGUUGCACUUGUGGCACGUCUUGAUGAUUUUGUGAUUCAAAGACGAUUCAAGUUCGAGUUCUAGCAAAAUAUCGUCGUUGAUUUUAGGUUGAGUUAUUGUUAAUCCUGUCUGUCGUGAAUGUUAUUGCGAUUUAUUGGGUUUGUUCUGGUUAGUUUCUGCGAUUCAUGGCUGUUAAAGAAGUUAACUUCGAUUUUCUGAACUUGCUGCUCCAUCUUGUAUGGAAGUCUUUGCAUCCGUUGUGUUGUUUCGAGCAUGUUCAUUCGGUUUUCUUUAGUGCGAGUCUUUAGUUAGCUCUUGACAUGUUUCAUUUGCUUUGAGGUUUGUAUUAUGGUGGGUAGUAUGAUGUGUUUCCUUAAUGUCGAAAUCUAGCGCAUUCGGUGAUUUGAAGGGCAGAAAGGGAUGCUGUCCCUUUAGGCAGAGUUGCCGUUGCUGUUGUCCACGAUUGAGGGUGUCUCUCAAUGACACUCAUCAUCGUGGAGCCAUGUUGGCUGUUUUCGUUCCCUCCCUCUUGCCUUACAAAUUUGUCUCGCUGAGUUUUUCGAUACGCCUCUGUGCAAUCUCCUUUAGUGGAGUUAUUUAUUGAUACAUAUCUUUCAUGAAUAAAGUGUGUAAUUUUCCAUUAAGUUAGUUAACUUUCUUCCGAUUAUGUUGCCCUGGGUUAUAUAUUUACUCUUCUCAUUUUAAUUUGUGGCAUGCUAAACCUGUCCGAGUUCGAUAAGGACUCUCAUCUCUGCCCACAUCUUGAGAAAGCCAUAAGGGCUUAAUUUCAUCCUUUCGAGUCAACCUAUCAAGACGGAAAUGCAGAUUCGAAAGUCCAUGAAGAAUGAAGAAGUUUAAAGAAGACGGACUAGAAGACUUUACCUUAUUUUUAUUAUGUAUUUUAUUUUUGUAAUGGGCAUGAGCCCUCGUUGUUUUAUUUUGAUAUCUUAUUUGUAUGUUUAGAUUAGGACAGGUACAAAAUGGGUCAAAAACCCAAAAGCAGGUGCGUCCGAGUUUCGGCCAAGGUGAACAACAUCCGAAACUUGGACCCGAAUCUCUCUCUCUCUCUUUACUAUUUGCUUAUCUUGUUUUUUCUUCAAUGUCGUUAGCUUAGGAUUAGGAAACUCCAAACCCCCAUUGACGCCUUUUGUUUUAUCAACUUAAAAACUAAAAUCGAAAUUUUAAAGCAAUAGAGGUUUAGCUUUGAAAAUUGCUUAGAUUUGAAGUUAAGUUUAACUUUGACAAAAAUCUUAAAACAAUAAUAUUUCAAGUCCGUUUUAGAGAGUUUUAACUUUAAGGAAAAUUUGCAAGAUAAAUAUUUUAAAGUUGCAAAGUAUGGUUAAGUAGAUUCUGAUAAAGUUUUAACUUCGACUUGUAAAAAUUAAAACAAAAUAGUCAAAUAGUUAGUCGUCGGAAAACCGUAGUUAGCGGAGCGUCUUAGGUGUUUUAAACACCUUCCUAAGACGCUAAUAGGAAUUCCGAACCCCUUUAAUAUUUUCAAUCGAUUUUUCUGUUAAGUCUUUUGAAAAUUAAAGUUUUCUUAAUUUUCCUUAAAAAUUAAGUGGCGACUCCAAAAAGUCAAAAAUACCCUUUAAUAAAACAAACUCUUUUUCGAAAAAUAACUUUUUCGAUAAAACAGUUAUUCAAUUUGUUUUUUUAAAAAAAAAGUUUAAAGAAUAAAACCAAUCCAAUUGAAAUAUUACCAAUUUAUUUUUCAAUUUAUAUUUUUGUCGAGUUGAAUCAAAUUGUAAAUAGCUCUAGCUCUAAUCUUAACCUUAUGAUGUAAAAAUAUGUAUGAUACGUUUGUUUCAAUGUCAAUAGAGAAAUUAAAUUGUGUACGACUUAUUAAAGAGAUGAAACAAGAACAUUAGAUACACAAGUGAAUGCUAUGAAUAUAUCUAGUGCAAUUAAUUUGAAUGUAUCUAGGAUAUUAGAUACAUAAGAGAGUGGUGAGCAAGACAAGAGGGAAGUGAUGAGAUUCAUUACAUAUUUCAGAUAUAUGCGGAUUCACUUAGAUACAUUAUAUCUAAAAUAAAUUAUAUCUAAUUUUGAUUAAAUAUAUCCAUAUAUAUAUAUAUAUAUAUAUAUAUAUAUAUAUAGAUUGUAUCUAUAUAAAACUCUUUGUAGUUUCUACCUCACUUUGACCAAGUACACACAUAGUCGGCAACAUUCCCCUAAUUAGUAAAUGUUGAGAAGGAAAUAAACAACACAAAAUCCACUUUUUUCACAAACUAAUGAAAUUAGAUUUUUAAUUAUUGUUUCUUGUAUGGUCCUAUAAAUACAC